RNAcentral lists this long non-coding RNA (594 nucleotides) under Lepisosteus oculatus (spotted gar). Its description in RNAcentral is "lncRNA (ENSLOCG00000022114.1)". The record is from RNAcentral. Lineage: Eukaryota; Metazoa; Chordata; Actinopteri; Semionotiformes; Lepisosteidae.
AAUUGCAGUUUGAGAGCCCUUUCUCUCCUGUAUUUAGAUCAGCUCUGCCUGACCCCCGUUUUCUUAAGGGGUACGCUAAACUCCCAAUAUCUUGCGUACGCCACAGAGGUGCCUGGGCUCCACUGUAUCACGUUUCCACAGAUGUUUUCUUCUACAGUCCUGUGCAAAGCGCAGCUGUCUUUUCCACGCGCCACGCGCUUCGUCCACGUCUUGCCGCUGCAGCUCGUGCUCUCCGCUGGCUCCUGCUCCACCUUUAAAUGCGUUUCCGGCACAAUGAAGGAACAUCUUUUAAUCUGUGUUUAAAUUACGUUUUAAUAUUUUUACAGAAUAAAGAGGCACUUAUAGAUGAGUCGGAUUUCAAAGAAACAAUUGUGAAAGGCAUUAGACACACUGGAGGAAGUACAUAUAUUUCCAGGAGUGGAAGUGCACUGGAGGUGGACUUUAUAAAUAUGUUUUCAACAACAUUCGAAAAAGGACCAGACGUCGUGGACACAAAAAUUAUAAAUUACCUUAAGGAAGCACAAUUGCCAAAUAUUAUAUUUCGCAGUAAGUAAUCAAAUGGUUAAAUGUGUUGUUAUGCUGAGGGUUAAGUUU